RNAcentral lists this ribosomal RNA (497 nucleotides) under uncultured bacterium. Its description in RNAcentral is "partial 16S ribosomal RNA". It matches the Rfam family "Bacterial small subunit ribosomal RNA", at positions 28 to 507 of the family's 1533-position model. The record is from RNAcentral.
GAUGAACGCUGGCGGCGUGCCUAAUACAUGCAAGUCGAGCGAACAGACGAGGAGCUUGCUCCUCUGACGUUAGCGGCGGACGGGUGAGUAACACGUGGAUAACCUACCUAUAAGACUGGGGUAACUUCGGGAAACCGGAGCUAAUACCGGAUAAUAUAUUGAACCGCAUGGUUCAAUAGUGAAAGACGGUUUUGCUGUCACUUAUAGAUGGAUCCGCGCCGCAUUAGCUAGUUGGUAAGGUAGCGGCUUACCAAGGCAACGAUGCGUAGCCGACCUGAGAGGGUGAUCGGCCACACUGGAACUGAGACACGGUCCAGACUCCUACGGGAGGCGGCAGUAGGGAAUCUUCCGCAAUGGGCGAAAGCCUGACGGAGCAACGCCGCGUGAGUGAUGAAGGUCUUCGGAUCGUAAAACUCUGUUAUUAGGGAAGAACAAAUGUGUAAGUAACUAUGCACGUCUUGACGGUACCUAAUCAGAAAGCCACGGCUAACUACGUG